Molecule: non-coding RNA, 21 nt
Filed under: Arabidopsis thaliana (thale cress)
Lineage: Eukaryota; Viridiplantae; Streptophyta; Magnoliopsida; Brassicales; Brassicaceae
Source: RNAcentral
UGGAUUCAUAACUGAUGCCAU